Molecule: long non-coding RNA, 437 nt
Filed under: Lupinus angustifolius (narrow-leaved blue lupine)
Lineage: Eukaryota; Viridiplantae; Streptophyta; Magnoliopsida; Fabales; Fabaceae
Description: long non-coding RNA (LANG_LNC003113)
Source: RNAcentral
GACUGCUCCAUUUGGUUCACCAUAUCUCUUCGCCUCUUUCAUUAUUUUACAUCAUCAUUAAUUGUUGGUACCAAAGAGCAACACAAGCUUCAGAUGCGAAAUCUCAGUGUCCAGGUGAGAUGCUAUAAUAAGGUUCCAAUUGUAGUCUAGUUUUCUGCACAUAUGCAAGAGCAGUGAGAUUCCUUUCUCACUUAGCCUUUUGUCACGGUUGUUCAUCAAUUUAGUCAAGAGUAACUUUUUCACAACUUUCUUUUCCUUUUGCAGGAUUAGCUAUCUGCACCAACACAACUCUUUCUUGACACACAGGGUGCCGAAUGAGAAGCUGCUCCAUGGCCAAAAGCUUUAAACUUAUUCCCUUGAAAAUAUCCAUGUCAUCCGCACCAAGCAACAUUAUCUUCCCUUGAUCAGAGAACUGCUUAACAAGCUCUCCAACUUUU